GAGACACUGUUUUCGAAACGGCAGUGCCUCGACGUCAUUUUUGGCGUAUUUUGAGUUGGAAACGGGAAAACUCGAAAGCGCUCGGUCGUGAGAACGAGACAGUAAUGCAACGCGUACAAGCAGAGUUGAACUCUAUGCCGGUCCUGUACUAUAUAUAUUUUAAACAUAUUCGCAUAGUAGGUCGCUAAAGUUUAAAAAUGUGAUUAUAGUGGCUUGUUAAUCAUUUAGCAUUUGUAUACGUGCACGAGUGGAAAAAAAUGAAACGAAAUCGCUUGACGUGGCUUCAAGGAUACCGCCGAAAAGUCAACUGAAGUCUUCGAAAAUUUCUACCGGCUUACUGAGAUCUUAUUUCGUUUCAUUAAAAAUGAGAUCAUGUCAAUGGAUUAAAAUUCCAAAUUCAUAAAUCAA
Long non-coding RNA from Bombyx mori (domestic silkworm), 408 nucleotides. RefSeq lists it as uncharacterized. Lineage: Eukaryota; Metazoa; Arthropoda; Insecta; Lepidoptera; Bombycidae. The transcript is spliced from 2 exons. The record is from RefSeq and is a predicted model, not a curated record.